Long non-coding RNA from Wasmannia auropunctata (little fire ant), 498 nucleotides. RefSeq lists it as uncharacterized. NCBI's taxonomy places the organism in Eukaryota, Metazoa, Arthropoda, Insecta, Hymenoptera, Formicidae. The record is from RefSeq and is a predicted model, not a curated record. The transcript is spliced from 2 exons.
UAUCAUCGUUAAGGAACGACCAAAUUAUAAUUACAUAUAAAUAUUAAUUUUUAUAUUAUAUAUAUGUAUAUAUGUUACGAGUGUAUAAUUAUGUUAUAUAUAUUAUAUUUGUGAUUCAUUCUAUCGAAGAGCAACGCCGCGGUUUUCGCAAUUGAUGACCAAGGGUACGUCAGUUUGAUCAAAAUAUUUAAGUUUCUGAUAAUUACCAACUGCUUCGUCGAUAAUAACGGAAUGAAGAUGAGCACUUACCAGCUGAACUUCCGCAGCGACGAGAUCCUGCGUCGAUGGCCUCCCGAGUGUCCCAGCACUCCCAUCAACGGCCAGCGUCGCUCCAAUCGUCUACCUCCAUCACUUGCUGCUCCAUAUGCUUCCAUCGCGUUGACGAUAAUCCAAAGAUCCGCAUCGACGUAAUCCAAUUACGGGCGCACAACACUUGAUACACGAAUGCACUGUAUAUCACAUUAUUAGGCUUUAUUAUACACUGCCUUAUGCACUUGA